CAAAUGUUUCAACUUUCAUUAGAUCAUUAGAUAAGUACAAGUACUAAGGAUAGAAAAAUUCAUAUGAAUAAGGUUUGAAUAUUAUCAACUAUUGAAAUUUUAAAGAAAAUUAAUGUUUUAGUGAUUUCCAUUGAAAAUUUGCUGCCGAGUCCAUCUUUUAAAUCUAAUUAGUUGACUGUUGAAAUUCAAGUAAAUUCAGUUGUGACUGAACAACCAACAUGUUAUCUACAUUAUUAAGAUAAUGUCUUACCCUGUCGAGUCAUAAUAGAUGUCAUUGUGGGCCGAUUUAUUUGCCAUUUGCAAAAGCUAAAGAUAAAAGAUAAAAGAGGAAAAAAGCUAAACCUUUUUACCAUUGAAAUUCAUUGAACCUUAAAAACAUAUAUACUGGUAACAUUGAUAGGGAUCGAUAGAGUGUUUCACAAACCUCCUUACCUCACCUCCUCCUCUUCAUCAUACUCUAUCUUACCAUCCUCAUCCUCAUCCUCAUCUUCAUCUUCCUCUUUCUUCAUUAGUCUCUUCUAGAGCAUUAUCAAUCAUAUGCGUAAAAAAGACAACCUAUUAAAAUUGUAUACACAAAAAUGAUGACUGAAUAUCACCAGAAUCUAUUGAUAAUCAUCAGCAAAAAUGUGAAACAAAGUUAAAACCAGAUCAGAUUGAACAAUAACAAGGCUUUUCAAAUUUAUUCACAAAAAGGUGAACCGGUUCACGUUGGCCAUUCAUUGUUUCAUUUAUUGCUUAAUUGGCCAAAAUUAUGGAUCAAUGGUUGUGAUUUAGCAAUAUCUGUUUACCUCAUUAAAGGGAAUGUUCAUUUCAACUCUUGAAACUCUGUGUGGCCCAUUAAGAGAUCCAAAAAAGGCCAAAAAGAUGGUUUCACUCCCUUAAGCUUUUAUCGCCAUUAUCAACAUAUGUGCAUCAUAUUGAAAACAUAAUCCAAAUAUUGUUGAAUUUCUUGUCUAUUUCCAAUCAUUCAGUACUAAUCAACACUCUGGAGAUGCUAAUACAAUGUGACAGAGAAGCUUAUCUGAUAUUCAAAUGAUUAUAAUAAUAUAAUGCCAACAGCGAAACAAGACUCUCAGCUGAUCCAAUAUCAAUGAGUUAAGUGUACAACAAAAUCAAUUGUACAGUUACGAUAUUACAAUUGUUUGAUUGUAGUUGUUGGAGUAACAAAAGAAACACAAUAAUCAUUAAAUUAUCACACGAAAUUGAAAUUGAGAGUGAAAGUCUGAAAAUUGAUUAUGAAAUAGAUGUGCAUUACAAUUUGUUAAAUUACAUUAGUAUAUUUUUUUGUACAUACAUAAAGGUACCAACAAUCUUUGAUCAAUGUCAAAUUAAAUGUUGAUUCAAUUACAUUA
Molecule: long non-coding RNA, 1352 nt
Organism: Tetranychus urticae (two-spotted spider mite)
Lineage: Eukaryota; Metazoa; Arthropoda; Arachnida; Trombidiformes; Tetranychidae
Source: RefSeq, a predicted model, not a curated record